This 2549-nucleotide ribosomal RNA is filed under the name Escherichia coli KTE199. RNAcentral describes it as "bacterial LSU rRNA". It matches the Rfam family "Bacterial large subunit ribosomal RNA", at positions 397 to 2925 of the family's 2925-position model. Lineage: Bacteria; Pseudomonadati; Pseudomonadota; Gammaproteobacteria; Enterobacterales; Enterobacteriaceae. The record is from RNAcentral.
CUGUGAGCUCGAUGAGUAGGGCGGGACACGUGGUAUCCUGUCUGAAUAUGGGGGGACCAUCCUCCAAGGCUAAAUACUCCUGACUGACCGAUAGUGAACCAGUACCGUGAGGGAAAGGCGAAAAGAACCCCGGCGAGGGGAGUGAAAAAGAACCUGAAACCGUGUACGUACAAGCAGUGGGAGCACGCUUCGGCGUGUGACUGCGUACCUUUUGUAUAAUGGGUCAGCGACUUAUAUUCUGUAGCAAGGUUAACCGAAUAGGGGAGCCGAAGGGAAACCGAGUCUUAACUGGGCGUUAAGUUGCAGGGUAUAGACCCGAAACCCGGUGAUCUAGCCAUGGGCAGGUUGAAGGUUGGGUAACACUAACUGGAGGACCGAACCGACUAAUGUUGAAAAAUUAGCGGAUGACUUGUGGCUGGGGGUGAAAGGCCAAUCAAACCGGGAGAUAGCUGGUUCUCCCCGAAAGCUAUUUAGGUAGCGCCUCGUGAAUUCAUCUCCGGGGGUAGAGCACUGUUUCGGCAAGGGGGUCAUCCCGACUUACCAACCCGAUGCAAACUGCGAAUACCGGAGAAUGUUAUCACGGGAGACACACGGCGGGUGCUAACGUCCGUCGUGAAGAGGGAAACAACCCAGACCGCCAGCUAAGGUCCCAAAGUCAUGGUUAAGUGGGAAACGAUGUGGGAAGGCCCAGACAGCCAGGAUGUUGGCUUAGAAGCAGCCAUCAUUUAAAGAAAGCGUAAUAGCUCACUGGUCGAGUCGGCCUGCGCGGAAGAUGUAACGGGGCUAAACCAUGCACCGAAGCUGCGGCAGCGACACUAUGUGUUGUUGGGUAGGGGAGCGUUCUGUAAGCCUGUGAAGGUGUACUGUGAGGCAUGCUGGAGGUAUCAGAAGUGCGAAUGCUGACAUAAGUAACGAUAAAGCGGGUGAAAAGCCCGCUCGCCGGAAGACCAAGGGUUCCUGUCCAACGUUAAUCGGGGCAGGGUGAGUCGACCCCUAAGGCGAGGCCGAAAGGCGUAGUCGAUGGGAAACAGGUUAAUAUUCCUGUACUUGGUGUUACUGCGAAGGGGGGACGGAGAAGGCUAUGUUGGCCGGGCGACGGUUGUCCCGGUUUAAGCGUGUAGGCUGGUUUUCCAGGCAAAUCCGGAAAAUCAAGGCUGAGGCGUGAUGACGAGGCACUACGGUGCUGAAGCAACAAAUGCCCUGCUUCCAGGAAAAGCCUCUAAGCAUCAGGUAACAUCAAAUCGUACCCCAAACCGACACAGGUGGUCAGGUAGAGAAUACCAAGGCGCUUGAGAGAACUCGGGUGAAGGAACUAGGCAAAAUGGUGCCGUAACUUCGGGAGAAGGCACGCUGAUAUGUAGGUGAAGCGACUUGCUCGUGGAGCUGAAAUCAGUCGAAGAUACCAGCUGGCUGCAACUGUUUAUUAAAAACACAGCACUGUGCAAACACGAAAGUGGACGUAUACGGUGUGACGCCUGCCCGGUGCCGGAAGGUUAAUUGAUGGGGUUAGCGGUAACGCGAAGCUCUUGAUCGAAGCCCCGGUAAACGGCGGCCGUAACUAUAACGGUCCUAAGGUAGCGAAAUUCCUUGUCGGGUAAGUUCCGACCUGCACGAAUGGCGUAAUGAUGGCCAGGCUGUCUCCACCCGAGACUCAGUGAAAUUGAACUCGCUGUGAAGAUGCAGUGUACCCGCGGCAAGACGGAAAGACCCCGUGAACCUUUACUAUAGCUUGACACUGAACAUUGAGCCUUGAUGUGUAGGAUAGGUGGGAGGCUUUGAAGUGUGGACGCCAGUCUGCAUGGAGCCGACCUUGAAAUACCACCCUUUAAUGUUUGAUGUUCUAACGUUGACCCGUGAUCCGGGUUGCGGACAGUGUCUGGUGGGUAGUUUGACUGGGGCGGUCUCCUCCUAAAGAGUAACGGAGGAGCACGAAGGUUGGCUAAUCCUGGUCGGACAUCAGGAGGUUAGUGCAAUGGCAUAAGCCAGCUUGACUGCGAGCGUGACGGCGCGAGCAGGUGCGAAAGCAGGUCAUAGUGAUCCGGUGGUUCUGAAUGGAAGGGCCAUCGCUCAACGGAUAAAAGGUACUCCGGGGAUAACAGGCUGAUACCGCCCAAGAGUUCAUAUCGACGGCGGUGUUUGGCACCUCGAUGUCGGCUCAUCACAUCCUGGGGCUGAAGUAGGUCCCAAGGGUAUGGCUGUUCGCCAUUUAAAGUGGUACGCGAGCUGGGUUUAGAACGUCGUGAGACAGUUCGGUCCCUAUCUGCCGUGGGCGCUGGAGAACUGAGGGGGGCUGCUCCUAGUACGAGAGGACCGGAGUGGACGCAUCACUGGUGUUCGGGUUGUCAUGCCAAUGGCACUGCCCGGUAGCUAAAUGCGGAAGAGAUAAGUGCUGAAAGCAUCUAAGCACGAAACUUGCCCCGAGAUGAGUUCUCCCUGACUCCUUGAGAGUCCUGAAGGAACGUUGAAGACGACGACGUUGAUAGGCCGGGUGUGUAAGCGCAGCGAUGCGUUGAGCUAACCGGUACUAAUGAACCGUGAGGCUUAACCUU